CCUGGACAUGGUUUGCACUUCUACGCAGUGUCCAGGACCAGUAGCCCUAAGGGGUGAAGCCAAGCAAAC
This 69-nucleotide non-coding RNA is filed under the name Coccidioides immitis RS. Lineage: Eukaryota; Fungi; Ascomycota; Eurotiomycetes; Onygenales; Onygenaceae. The record is from RNAcentral.